This 72-nucleotide transfer RNA is filed under the name Ameiurus melas (black bullhead). It matches the Rfam family "tRNA". From Rfam's summary of the family: Transfer RNA (tRNA) molecules are approximately 80 nucleotides in length. Their secondary structure includes four short double-helical elements and three loops (D, anti-codon, and T loops). Lineage: Eukaryota; Metazoa; Chordata; Actinopteri; Siluriformes; Ictaluridae. The record is from Rfam by way of RNAcentral.
GGGGGUAUAGCUCAGUGGUAGAGCAUUUGACUGCAGAUCAAGAGUGCCCAGGUUCAAGUCCAGGUGCCCCCU